AAAAAAGAAAACCCUGUAUUUUUAUGUUUAACUUUGAUUGUCCGUCUUAUAUAAAAUUUUUUUAUAAUUCGUAUUUUCAUUGUUGCUAGAUGAUAAAACAUGAUUAAUAUUUUAUGCGCGACUUAUCUUUUUUAUUUUUUUUAUAAUUUAUUCAAAUAAGAUGGACGAUCAAACGUUCGGUACAGAAACC
Molecule: microRNA precursor, 190 nt
Filed under: Oryza sativa Indica Group (long-grained rice)
Lineage: Eukaryota; Viridiplantae; Streptophyta; Magnoliopsida; Poales; Poaceae
Description: MIR812 microRNA precursor family
Rfam family: MIR812 microRNA precursor family
Source: Rfam by way of RNAcentral